GUUAAGAUUCCUGAGCGGUCUAAAGCGCUGCGUUUAAGUCGCAGUAAAAUUCUGCAAGCGUGGUUUCGAAUUCCACGUUUGACA
Non-coding RNA from Trichonephila clavipes, 84 nucleotides. NCBI's taxonomy places the organism in Eukaryota, Metazoa, Arthropoda, Arachnida, Araneae, Nephilidae. The record is from the annotation of a GenBank genome assembly.